AUAGCGGAGGAAAAGGAACCAACAGGGAUUGCCCUAGUAACGGCGAGUGAACAGGCAAGAGCUCAGAUUUGAAAGGCACUUUUGUGCCGUUGUAUUCUGAAGUUAGGGUCCUGAGAAACGAUGCUUAAGUCUUCUGGAAAGGAGCGCCAUGGAGGGUGAUAGCCCCGUCUAGCAUUGACCUCAUAUAGGAUCUUAACAUGGAGUCGAGUUGUUUGGGAAUGCAGCUCAAAUGGGUGGUAUGCUCCAUCUAAAGCUAAAUAUCUGCGAGAGACCGAUAGUAAACAAGUACUGUGAGGGAAAGAUGAAAAGAACUUUGAAAAGAGAGUGAAAAAGUACGUGAAAUUGUUGAAAUGGAAGGGUAGGCCGCUAACCAUGUAGAGCCGUGUUUGGGGGGAAGAUAAAUGCUGUAGAAUGUAGCUCCUCGGAGUAUUAUAGAUGCGGUUCAUAUUCCCACCCGUUUCUGUGUUCCCCC
Molecule: ribosomal RNA, 472 nt
Filed under: Starmerella bacillaris
Lineage: Eukaryota; Fungi; Ascomycota; Dipodascomycetes; Dipodascales; Trichomonascaceae
Description: eukaryotic LSU rRNA
Rfam family: Eukaryotic large subunit ribosomal RNA
Source: RNAcentral